Molecule: ribosomal RNA, 253 nt
Filed under: uncultured bacterium
Lineage: Bacteria
Description: partial 16S ribosomal RNA
Rfam family: Bacterial small subunit ribosomal RNA
Source: RNAcentral
UACGAAGGACCCGAGCGUUAUCCGGAUUUAUUGGGCUUAAAGGGUGCGUAGGCGGUUUUACAAGUCAGUGGUGAAAUCUCCCGGCUUAACCGGGAAACUGCCAUUGAAACUGUUUAUCUUGAGUACAUUUGAGGCGGGCGGAAUGUGUCAUGUAGAGGUGAAAUUCUUAGAUAUGACACAGAACACCAAUUGCGAAGGCAGCUCGCUAAACUGUAACUGACGCUGAGGCACGAAAGCGUGGGGAUCAAACAGG